Erythranthe guttata (spotted monkey flower) is the source of this 1029-nucleotide non-coding RNA. The record is from RefSeq and is a predicted model, not a curated record. NCBI's taxonomy places the organism in Eukaryota, Viridiplantae, Streptophyta, Magnoliopsida, Lamiales, Phrymaceae.
AAAAAAGUUGGAUGUCCCUCUUUUAAUUAAGUGCCCUUGUCAUGGGCCUAUUUGCCAUUACCGCAUUUGUUAAUGGAUUUUAGUUUCUCUGUGGACGACAAAGAUUUGGCAUCAAUCGGCUGCGAUAAACUUAAGUCUUCACAGAACGUAAAAGAACCUCCAGAAUGAUGACGAUUUGAUCUCACAUUCUCCUCUUUCUUAUGCAUGGUACAAUUGCAACAUCGUUUGAUCCAAUUCCAUUUAUUGCGUUCUCUUCGUUUCCUUCGGCCAACAUAAUUCGUGAGUAUUGAACAAAUAAUUGCAAUAUGCCUAUGUUUUGUGUGUUUUUUUCUUACAUUUUCACUCUAGUGUUCUAAUUUAUUUACGAUUUACGAUUCAUUAAAUUAAUCAAUGGUGUGUUUAUUGUUAGUAGGAAAUCUGUACAUACAGCCAAAUUUGUGUAUGAUCAAACAACAGUGAUUAAGAACGUCUCCGGAAAUAAUUUUCUAGAGGGUUUAAUAAGAGGUUAUUGACGACUGUAGAAAAUAGCAUGCCUUCUUAGCAUUUAGCUGAAAUUUUUGUUUCACGUUGUUCUAAAUAUUCAAAAAAUAUUGCAGCACAAAUUUUGUACCAGCAAAACAUCAGAAGUUAAAGGGAGCUCCUGAAGCAAUUCAGUAUGCAGAACUUGAUCAUUUAUAGUUAUUCUCGGACGAAGAUGAAUGACAAAGAGAGAAACACGAUAAGAAGAACCUUAACUUGCAUAAUUGAUAGGAGAGAAACACUGUGACGAGAAGAUGUUUAAUCUGUCGAUUAAUACACAAAUUAUCUGAUUGAAUGAAGAAUGGAUUAACAUCCUCAUCCAUCAGAAGAUUGGUAGUUACUCUUCCAAUUUGCAAGUCUGUAUAUAAUGUGUAUAAUAUUUUCCAAAUUUGUAUGUAGUAUAGUACCCGUAUAAUAUUUUGCAAGUUUGUAUAUAAUAUGUGUACCGUGUCUGUAUCUGCCUUUUUUUUAAUGAUCUCCCUACUUUAAUAUCAGCAAAAGGUUUAACUG